UACGAAGGUGGCUAGCGUUGUUCGGAUUUACUGGGCGUAAAGGGCGCGUAGGCGGAUUUUUAAGUCGGGGGUGAAAUCCCGGAGCUCAACUCCGGAACUGCCUUCGAUACUGAAAGUCUGGAGCACGGUAGAGGUGAGUGGAAUUCCGAGUGUAGAGGUGAAAUUCGUAGAUAUUCGGAGGAACACCAGUGGCGAAGGCGGCUCACUGGACCGUUGCUGACGCUGAGGCGCGAAAGCGUGGGGAGCGAACGGG
Molecule: ribosomal RNA, 253 nt
Filed under: uncultured bacterium
Lineage: Bacteria
Description: partial 16S ribosomal RNA
Rfam family: Bacterial small subunit ribosomal RNA
Source: RNAcentral